Loxodonta africana (African savanna elephant) is the source of this 80-nucleotide small nucleolar RNA. Its record names the gene SNORD115. It matches the Rfam family "Small nucleolar RNA SNORD115". From Rfam's summary of the family: HBII-52 is a member of the C/D class of snoRNAs, which contain the C (UGAUGA) and D (CUGA) box motifs. The record is from Ensembl. Lineage: Eukaryota; Metazoa; Chordata; Mammalia; Proboscidea; Elephantidae.
AGGCCAAUAAUGACACCUAAACUUGUCUUGAAGAGAGACAAUGAAAAAAAAUCAUGCUCUAUAGAAUUAUGCUGAGGCCU